ACGAAUGCAACCCAUCAUUCGUGGAUUUCGUCCAGGAGGCGGGCAUGGUGCAUCCACGAAGCGGCAGCAAACGAGGUUUUGGCGGCCCUUCUGAGCGGACCGGCUUCCACUGCAUAGCUGCCACUCAGCGGCAACGUGCGUGGACCAGACCUACGAGCCUAUGCAUCACGGGAAUCAUCGGUGGCCCCGCGACUGCGCAUCAACGACAAUCGACGUGGAUGUUUUCCAUUAACUGACUGCAGAAACUCUGGCACGUGCCAGGUGCCCGGUGAUUAAGGUGCCCUACGUUCCACAAGUAAGAGCGUAUUGCUCUUUCUCAAAAACUGUGACGUCACAUCACGUGGCUUGCCGAGCUCCUUUAAAAGACCGAGCAACAUCGCCUUUCGUCAGUGGGCAGGCCAGCAGCAGUAUUGGCAACAUGUUCAGUAAUCACUUCUGCUUGCUCUACAGAUUUUGGUGGCCCUUCUGAGCGGACCGCUUUCACUGCAUGGCUGCCACUCAGCGGCAACGUGCGUGGACCAGACCUACGAGCCUAUGCAUCACGAGAAUCAUUGGUGGCUCUGCGACUGCGCAUCAACGACAAUCAACGUGGAUGCGUUCAAUGAACUGACUGCAGAAACUCUGGCACGUGCAAGGCGCCCGGUGUUUCCACAAGUAAGAGCGUAUUGCUUUUUCUCGACAACUGUGACGUCACAUCACGUGGCUUGCCGAGCUCCUUUAAAAUACCGAGCAACAUCGCCUUUCGUCAGUUGGCAGGCCAGCAGCAGUACCGGCAACACGUUCAGCAAUCACUUCUGCUUUGCUCUACAGUUACAGAGAAGCGUGCUCACUGGAGGUGGCGAUGAUGGUGAGGAUCUCGCCCCCAUGGACUUCGGAUCACCAGACUUCGAAUGACAGUCCCUCGAGCAGGAGCAACUUGGUGCGGGGUCCACCGCACAGCCGCUGACCCAGGCUUGAGCGGUCCAGCUCGAACGUCAGGUCUCGAAGCAGCAUCACAGCGGCCGCAUUUAGCAUCAUGUCGACGUGACCAUUGGCACCACGGCCCACAUUUCAGCGAAAGGCGUUGUUACGCACACAUAAGAACAACAAGACCAGAAUCAGCUCUGGCCAGAGGACGAUGACGACGUGUAAUGCCGAUGUGUGUACGACAACUAACGAGUCACGUGCCACGCGUUGAACUAAUGAUAGGUAUUGGUAGGGCAUAUUGGGCAUAGCCUAAGGGCAGUUGGAGGGAGGGUGGGUAAUCGGAACCUAGCACUGAUAAGACGAAGGCUUACUUCAGUAUAGAGUUGGUGAAAGCAGAGGAAAGAUAAGCAGAGGAUGUUGCUGAAAGUGAUGAAAAGCCUAAAGCACGGAAAACUACGUGUGGCGCACGUCUGCAAAAUUUAGCUGAAAUGUUCACAGCAGCGUAUGUUACUCGCCUAUUGUGUUUUUUACCAAGCUACCAAGGUGGUUCAGGAUCCUUUUAACCCUGUAAUACAUAACGCACCAUCUGUAUACUGCUGCGUUUGAGACUUCGAAAUUCAUAUUUGCGCGCGUGAAAAACAAGUAGCGAUAACAAUAGGCUGGAGCUAAAUGCGGUUGUGAGCAGCUUAGUAAUAGGAUUGCUAACGGCAGUGCUAAUUAUCUUUACUGACAAAUUUUAUUGCUUUAAGCACAAGGGCCAUCCAGCGGGCUGAGCAUGCCGCUAGGACCCAAGAACUUCUGGCCGUCACCUAGGCGGGGCCUUUGGCCCUCCCCACCAACUGGCAGGGCACACAAUAAA
Dermacentor albipictus is the source of this 1765-nucleotide long non-coding RNA. RefSeq lists it as uncharacterized. Lineage: Eukaryota; Metazoa; Arthropoda; Arachnida; Ixodida; Ixodidae. The record is from RefSeq and is a predicted model, not a curated record.